GUAUAUGAUGGAAAUAUUAAAUGAUAUGAGAGCUAAGGAAGUGAACCCUAAUCCCAAAACCCUUUUCAUUGUUCUGGAUAGUUAUGUUCGUGCUCGACAAGUUUCUAAAGCUAUUAAAAUUUUCGGGGAACUGGAGAAAUAUGGUUUAAAAGUUAAUGUGGAGACGUUGAAUGUUAUUUUGCAGUGCUUAUGUCAACGAUCAUUUGUGGGCACUGCAAGUUCACUAUUUAACAGAAUGAAAGAGAAAGUACAACCUGACAGCGAGACUUAUAAUAUUAUCAUAGGUGGGUGGUCCAAGUUUGGCAGAGUUAGUGAAGUUGAGAAAUUCUUGAAAGUUAUGGUGAACGAUGGAGUUGAGCAUGAUUGUGUAACUUACAGUUAUAUUCUUGAGGGUUUGGGGAGAUCUGGUCGUGUUGAUAACGCUGUUAAGAUCUUUGAGUACUUUGAGGAGAAACGAACUAUGCUAAGUACUGGGGUUUAUAAUGCAAUGGUUUUUAAUUUUAUUGCUGUUGGAGAUAUUGAUGAAGGCUUGAAAUAUUAUAAGCGGAUGUUGAGUAAUAAUUAUGAGCCAAAUAUGGAUACUUAUGCUAGAAUAAUAGCUGCAUUUCUUAAAGUUAAAAGAGUUUCAGACGCUAUCGAACUGUUUGAUGAAAUGCUAGCUCGAGGGAUCAUUCCUACAGCAGGUACUCUCACCACGUUCAUUGAACCUUUGUGUGGCUAUGGUCCGCCUCAUGCUGCCUUGAUGAUAUAUAAUAAGGCAAGAAAAGUUGGAUGCAGAAUAUCACUGACUGCCUAUAAGCUCUUGCUUAUGCGGUUAUCUAGGUUUGGGAAGUGUGGGAUGCUGCUGAAUAUAUGGGAGGAGAUGCAAGAAAGUGGCUAUUCUUGUGAUAUGCAGGCUUAUGAGUAUGUUAUCAAUGGCCUCUGUAACACGGGGCAGCUUGAAACUGCUGUCCUAGUCAUGGAGGAAUCUCUGCACAAGGGAUUUUUCCCUAGCAAGCUUAUUUGUAGCAAACUGAAUAAUAAACUGCUGGCUUCAAAUAAAGUAGAAAUAGCAUAUAAGCUUUUCCUGAAGUUAAAGAACGCUCGUGUCAAUGAAAAUGCACAAAGAUAUUGGCGGGCUAAAGGGUGGCACUUUUGAUCUUUUGCAUCUGUAGGUUGGUGAUGGCAGCUGUUUCAGGUAAUAUUUAUCUGGAUUCUUAUUGAAUAAGAAGGAUCAUCUUUCUUCAAGUUCUAUGGUCCACACGGAAGCUUAGAUAUAACAAUUGAACCACAACUACUGACUAUCAGACGAAGGCACUAGUCUCUCAAGCUUGCUGCUUUACUAUAAGCACGAUUCGGAGAUCUUGGGUUCAUGGCUAUCUGACCCUCUUCUGCUUAGUUACAUUUAUCCUGAUGAUCAGCUACCUGGUAGCGUAGGAAAAGAAUGUGCCUGAGUUUUAUGAUGAUUAAGUUCAGAAUUGCUGUUGCAAGAAAUGGAUUUAAUUACAUACCUGAUGGCCUUUCACUGAAGUUACCAAGAUAUCAUCAAAAGGGUCAGGGCAUCAAAAGGGUCAGGGCAUGUAUUUUCUGUGCAUCAUUUAUUGUGCCUUUGUUGUUUUCUAAUGCUUUAUUGACUCUUUGUGUAAUUAAAUUUUCAAGUUAAUGUAGUGGUCUACACAAUAUACUGGCCCCGAUUGAAUGCUGUUCUGUGCUUCGCAGAUGCAGUAUUGUUUGAAAAUUAAAUAAAAGAUAUCAUUCCUUGUGUUUUAGAUAUGUGCCAGGAAGUGCUUAAUGGAGCAUCAUGUAUCUUCAGUGGAUAUCAUUUUCACCACUGGAAAUGCUGGGAUCAUCUCAUUGGGCAGGCUCCAGUUAUGCUUCCAUAAGAAUUUAAAGAUCAGGAAAUUACUUGAACAGUUGAACCCUUUCUGUUUGAAACUCGAAUUUGAAAACUUUGUCACUGCAUUUUUACAAGGACUUGAUUAUUAGGUUGUUAUUUUGUUUUGUCCAUUUGUUUCUUAAAUUCCACCAAUAGGUUCACCGAUUGAUUGAUAUGAUCAGGUGAAUAAUACUGACAAAUAAUCAUAAUAUGAGGUAAGUGAAUUCCUUGGCAAUUAAAGAAAUCUAGAGGACAGAGAUAUUUCAUUAGUCAUUUAACUGGACUGCCUUGAAUAUUUUCUGAUGUUUUGACAAACUUCAUAAUUUGCACGAUUUAUUUAGUCACUUACAGUACAUAUAAUUUCUUUUUGAUAUUAAAUUCUUUACUUUUGCUAAAUAGACUCUAAUUCAUGGCUUAAAUGAAUCCAUAACUCACUGUGAUUUUCUUAAAUCUUAGCUUGCCUUUGUGAUGUUAUUGAGCAAGUGUGUGUUCAUUUUGUAUUAACCUCCUCCACAUCUAAUAUGAGAUAUGAGAUGGUCUGGAUCAGUGAAAAGUCUGAAUCGAUGAUUUUAUCAAAUCAGCACAUGCAUUUUAAAGUUGAAACUAAAUUUUCUUUCUCUAUGCCGUCAUGAACAGUACUCAAGCUAGAAACAUCCCAAUUGAUUUUGGUGCUAUGCAAGACCGGUUUAAACAAGUGAGUUGCCCAGAAGAUGAAAUAACUCUCUAUUGAACUAAUGUACUUCUUUAGUCUCAGGUUCUUCACUUUAAUAUUCAUGAACGGCUUCAUGGCAUGAAUAGAGGAGAUGCCGAGGUUUUAUUUUCCUUGAAAGUUAAACUGACUGUUAUGAAUUUUGUGGGUUCGAUUCAGAUGGUCAAUGGUUCAGAUAACGCAUGUUUACAACCAUAACUUGAUGGGCCAACUUUAGCUUCCUCGGAUUAUGGUUUAAAUGAUGAGAGUCUUGAGAAGUAAUCUGGUUGUAUUACUGGUACUAUGGUUAUGGGAGGAGACGAGGCUGUGAAGUAUGUAUUCCUUGUCACUCUUAUGUUCAAUCACAUCGAGAGGAAAGGCAUACCAUAUUGUGCAACGCUGACAUCCAAAACUACAACAUGCUCAAAUAGACAGAAUAGACAUCAAAAUAAAAUGCAAUUUGCAGAAACAAAAGGUUUGGUGCUCUGAAUUUCAGAUAUACAAAUUAAUAUAUAGGUUAUGAGGCAAACACAUCUGAGCUUUUGUGGAUUUCACUCCAAACGUUUUACUUGAUAUAAUUUAAGUGUCAAGCAAAUAUUUACUAA
Molecule: RNA transcript, 3148 nt
Organism: Olea europaea var. sylvestris
Lineage: Eukaryota; Viridiplantae; Streptophyta; Magnoliopsida; Lamiales; Oleaceae
Gene name: putative pentatricopeptide repeat-containing protein At5g43820
Exons: 2
Source: RefSeq, a predicted model, not a curated record